AGCACACUGCUGGAUCAGGCCAUGGGAGAAGUGCUCAAUGACAGAGUGACAGAGCUCUAUCAGGAACACAGGCACUACAUGAAGACCACCCGGGCACGAGUGAAUCAUCAGUGACCUUUUUCAUCACAUGCUCUUUUGAAGCUAAACUUCAGAGGACUUCAUCUCAGUGAAAACAGGCAGCUCUGUCGUCCUUCUGAAAGAUAUCCAGUAAGUCUCCUGCCAGACUAAAGAGGGAGAGUCAACAGAAAGCAGGUGCUGAGGGAUGAUAUAUUAAGAUGAAUUUCCAUAUUACCUUCAUUAAUGUUUAACUCAUCCUCUCUUUCUGACGUGAGGCUGUAUAAAGCCUUGCAUCUGCCGACUGAGUGGAAUUCUGAGUCUGUUUAGGGGAUUCAACACCCAAAAAUGAAAUCAGGAGUUUGUGUGUUAAUAAAACAAUGUUAAAUAUG
Long non-coding RNA from Carassius carassius (crucian carp), 446 nucleotides. RefSeq lists it as uncharacterized. The transcript is spliced from 2 exons. NCBI's taxonomy places the organism in Eukaryota, Metazoa, Chordata, Actinopteri, Cypriniformes, Cyprinidae. The record is from RefSeq and is a predicted model, not a curated record.